UACGUAGGAUGCGAGCGUUAAUCGGAAUUACUGGGCGUAAAGCGUGCGCAGGCGGUUUGGUAAGACAGAUGUGAAAUCCCCGGGCUUAACCUGGGAAUUGCAUUUGUGACUGCCCGGCUAGAGUGUGUCAGAGGGGGGUAGAAUUCCACGUGUAGCAGUGAAAUGCGUAGAGAUGUGGAGGAAUACCGAUGGCGAAGGCAGCCCCCUGGGAUAACACUGACGCUCAUGCACGAAAGCGUGGGGAGCAAACAGG
This 253-nucleotide ribosomal RNA is filed under the name uncultured bacterium. Its description in RNAcentral is "partial 16S ribosomal RNA". It matches the Rfam family "Bacterial small subunit ribosomal RNA", at positions 524 to 776 of the family's 1533-position model. The record is from RNAcentral.